AAGUCGUAACAAGGUUUCCGUAGGUGAACCUGCGGAAGGAUCAUUAACAGAUUCUGCUAGUCCCAGAAAUCUUACCCCACGUGCAAUGUAAUCUGAAUUGGUGUCAAAGCACUGGACCCGGCAUUACCCGAACGUCUUUAGGGUACCUUGUCGGUCUAAGUCUAGGCACCAUCAUUUUACACUCUGUUCUGUAUGCAGAGAAAAAACAAAAGACUAGAAAACUUUUAGCAACGGAUCUCUAGGCUCUU
RNAcentral lists this unclassified non-coding RNA (248 nucleotides) under fungal sp. Its description in RNAcentral is "partial internal transcribed spacer region". The stretch from base 1 to 46 matches the Rfam family "Eukaryotic small subunit ribosomal RNA", at positions 1786 to 1831 of the family's 1831-position model. Lineage: Eukaryota; Fungi. The record is from RNAcentral.